This 717-nucleotide long non-coding RNA is filed under the name Crocodylus porosus (Australian saltwater crocodile). RNAcentral's name for it is "lncRNA (ENSCPRG00005008152.1)". Lineage: Eukaryota; Metazoa; Chordata; Crocodylia; Crocodylidae. The record is from RNAcentral.
CCUGUAUUUAGCUACAGGCUAGGUACAGUACAUGAAAGCCUCAAGACAAGUGUCCCUUAGCAAUGCUCCUAGAUUCUAGCUGAACAGCAGUGGAAAAAACCAAUGUCCACGGCUCAUUUGGUCCCUUCCUUCUUUGCCUGCUCCACAGAACAUCGUCUCCCCUUUGCUCCAAGGGAAACUAGAAACUGAACUGAGACACAGCACGUUGGCUCAGACUGAAAAUGACAUAUCCUAAAGCUCGUUGAACAUUAUCUGUUGAACAUUUUUCCAACAUCAAACUGGAUUUUCAGUCAAAAACAGAAGACCUCACUGGCCAAGUUCGCGGACAACACCAAGUUAUGGGGAAGCGUGAUCAUGCCUGAAGAUAGGCUGCAGAUACAGGCGGACAUAGACAGGCUGGCAAGUUGGAGAGAUCAGAAUCUGAUGAAGUUCAAUGUUGAGAAAUGUAAAGUGCUCCACCUCAGGACGAGCAACCCCCAACACACCUGCAGGCUUGGUGGCACCAAACUGACUAGCACCACGAAUGCUGGAGACAUGAAUGAAGACAGGAAGCUCGGAGGCACUCGGGGAAAAUGAAAACACCAAAAAGUUAACUGAAUGUUUCCAAUCCCUGGCAAGGUCUCCUUUGAGUUUCACAUGCCGAUUCAGACCAGCUCAAACCAUUCAUCCCUGCCUUCCCCCGCACUUCCGCCCUAAACUUCCUGGCAUGCUGUGCAA